CGGCCGCGUCGACGGGCAACCCUGAUCCAGCCAUGCCGCGUGUGUGAAGAAGGCCUUUUGGUUGUAAAGCACUUUAAGCAGGGAGGAGAGGCUAAUGGUUAAUACCCAUUAGAUUAGACGUUACCUGCAGAAUAAGCACCGGCUAACUCUGUGCCAGCAGCCGCGGUAAUACAGAGGGUGCGAGCGUUAAUCGGAAUUACGUGGGCGUAGAGCGAGUGUAGGUGGCUCUAUUAAGUCACAUGUAGAACUCCC
RNAcentral lists this ribosomal RNA (252 nucleotides) under uncultured bacterium. RNAcentral describes it as "partial 16S ribosomal RNA". It matches the Rfam family "Bacterial small subunit ribosomal RNA", at positions 352 to 604 of the family's 1533-position model. The record is from RNAcentral.